RNAcentral lists this ribosomal RNA (478 nucleotides) under uncultured bacterium. RNAcentral's name for it is "partial 16S ribosomal RNA". It matches the Rfam family "Bacterial small subunit ribosomal RNA", at positions 28 to 507 of the family's 1533-position model. The record is from RNAcentral.
GAUGAACGCUGGCGGCGUGCCUAACACAUGCAAGUCGAACGGAGUCCAGCCUUUAAGACCUUCGGGUCAAAGAGGGGAAGACUGAGUGGCGGACGGGUGAGUAACACGUGGGCAACCUGGCUCAUAGAGGGGGAUAACAGAGAGAAAUUUCUGCUAAUACCGCAUAAGCACACCCUGCCGCAUGGCAGAGGGUGAAAAGAGAAUCGCUAUGAGAUGGACCCGCGUCUGAUUAGCCAGUUGGCAGGGUAAGAGCCUACCAAAGCGACGAUCAGUAGCCGAUCUGAGAGGAUGAACGGCCACAGUGGGACUGAGACACGGCCCAAACUCCUACGGGAGGCAGCAGUGGGGGAUAUUGCACAAUGGGGGGAACCCUGAUGCAGCGACGCCGCGUGAGUGAAGAAGUAUUUAGGUAUGUAAAGCUCUAUCAGCAGGGAAGAUAAUGACAGUACCUGAAUAAGAAGCCCCGGCUAACUACGUG